AGAGUUUGAUCCUGGCUCAGGAUGAACGCUGGCGGCGUGCCUAAUACAUGCAAGUCGAGCGAUGAGGCUCCUUCGGGAGUACAUCAGCGGCGAACGGGUGAGUAACACGUAGGUGACUUGCCCCGAAGAUGGGGAUAACCUCUGGAAACGGGGGCUAAUACCCAAUGUGCUCGGUGAUUCGGUUGAUCGAGUAAAGCUCCGGCGCUUCGGGAGAGGCCUGCGGCCCAUCAGCUAGUUGGUAGGGUAACGGCCUACCAAGGCAGAGACGGGUAGGGGGCGUGAGGGCGCGGACCCCCACACUGGCACUGCGACACGGGCCAGACUCCUACGGGAGGCAGCAGUAAGGAAUAUUGCGCAAUGGACGAAAGUCAGACGCAGCGACGCCGCGUGGGCGAUGAAGGCCUUCGGGUUGUAAAGCCCUUUUAUGGGGGAAGAGAAAAAGGACGGUACCCCAUGAAUAAGUCCCGGCUAACUACGUGCCAGCAGCCGCGGUAAAACGUAGGGGACAAGCGUUAUCCGGAUUCACUGGGCGUAAAGAGCGUUGAGGCGGUUCCGUAAGUUGGGCGUGAAAGCUCCGGGCUUAACCCGGAGAUGUCGUUCAAUACUGCGGGGCUUGAGGACAGCAGAGGAAGGUGGAAUUCCCGGUGUAGUGGUGAAAUGCGUAGAUAUCGGGAGGAACACCCGUGGCGAAGGCGGCCUUCUGGGCUGUUCCUGACGCUGAAGCGAAAGCUAGGGGAGCGAACGGGAUUAGAUACCCCGGUAGUCCUAGCUGUAAACGAUGGAUGCUGGGUGUGGGGGGUGUAAAUU
This 807-nucleotide ribosomal RNA is filed under the name uncultured organism. RNAcentral describes it as "bacterial SSU rRNA". It matches the Rfam family "Bacterial small subunit ribosomal RNA", at positions 8 to 837 of the family's 1533-position model. The record is from RNAcentral.